CGAUCAAAUAUCAAAUGGAUAAAAAAUAGUCUCUUUAAAAUCGACCUUUCAUAUAUUUAUAUACAUACGUUUUCCUUUUCUAAUCUUUUUCUAUUAUUAUUUUUAAGGAUAAUAUUUUAGGGAUCGUCCGACCAAAAGAUCAGACGAAUCAAAAUCAAUCCAAAAUUAUCAGACCAACACAAAUUAUCUGACUCGAUAAUUUAUUUUCAAAUUCGAAGGUUUGAAAUUUACAAAUUUAUAAAUAAGUUAUAUUUUGCAUAUAUAUAUAUAUAUAUAUAUAUAUAUUCAAUUAUUUUCUUAUUUUUUAUUUGAACCGUCCGAUCAAAUGAACGGACGGUCCAAAUAUUGGUCAAAAUCUUCAACCAAUGCAAUAAAUGAUGCACCAGAAAGGCACCAACAUGCAUUUUUCUUUUCUCAAGAAAACAACAAGUGGUCACCAUCAUUAUCCGCUCCCCUUUCUCUUCUUCUUUUCCCCUUCUUUCUUCUUUCUCCUCUAUUCUCCACCACCAAAACAUUAACCCUAGCGACAACCUCCAACUGUCCUUCUGCGCGACCCAUCUCCCCCACCCUAAAAAUCCACCGACUUCACUUUGACUGCAAAAGCAGGCACUAUUUGGUACCAAAAAAUCAAAAUUGCUAUAAGUAGCCUAAAAGGCAGAGGUUGGAAUAGGUGUUGGAUUUGAUUGCAAAAUCCAUUCUUUUUCUUCUUCUCAUUUUCAAUUUUUGAGGUCUCAAAUCCGAACUUUCAAGUCCGAAUUUAGCACCUAUAAAUAUGGUGUUUUCAUCCCCUAUGAAGGCAAGAAACUUUGAGAGAGAGAAAUCCGGGAGAAGGGUUCAAGAUCUGGAAAAGGGGGAACGAGUGAAAAUAUGAGAGAAAGGCAAAUUUUGAGAGAAAUUUUCGAUCUGUAAGAAAGAAAAAUUCGCGAGAAAGCAAAGAGAUUGGAAGUUUCUAAAUCAAGAAAAAAAAGGGAGACAAAAAAAAUGAAGUAAGGAAAAUUGGUCUUGUUUUUUUAUUUCCAGAAUACAUGUUUUGGAAUAAGUUUGGAAUAUGUUCUGAAAAAGAAAAGUUUUUUCCAAAGUUGCUAUUUCUUUUUUAUUUUGGUCAAGUCGGAGUCCGAUAGUUGAGUUAUUUGUCGAUGAAAAAUCCCUAGGCAUUGAGGCUCCCAUUUGCUAUGCCAACAAAGAUGUCAAAGGAUAAGAAAUGCAAGGUAUAUAUAUUCAUUCGCUACCACAUACAAGGUAUAUUAUUUUCAAUAUUAUUAUAGUAAUUAUUUUCAUCAUUAUUAUCAUUCAUUAUUAUUGCCAUUAUUAUUUAUACAACCAUUAGUACUAUUAAUUAUUAUUAUUAUUAUUAUUAUUAUGGUUUAAACGACUUCAUAUGUUAUGCAUUAUAUUAUUAUUAUUAUUAUUAUUAUUAUUAUUAUUAUUAUUUUAAUUUCAACCCAUUCAUAAUCUUUCAUAUAUUCCCUCACAUACUCUUAAAUAUACUUUUCGUAAUUAAAUUUUCGCGUCAUGAAAAAAAAUAUAUUUGCUUAUGUUUUAGUCAUAUACUUAAACUUCACAUGUCUUAAAGUUUCUUUAUAAGAUCAUAAGAUUUUUCACUUUCUGAUGUGUAAAUUACAUUAUUAGCCUUUUCGUAUCCUACAAAUAUUCAUAUUUUGCGAUAAUUAUAUUACUUCCUUGUACAUGGUAGCGUCUUGUUUACUAUACUUUAAAAUUCCUUGUAAAUAACGAUAGUGAAUAUAUGACAAAAAAAUUUUCAACACAUUUUAGCAAAUAACGAAGCAAUGCUUUCCUAAAUUGAGUGUAAGAACUAUCUUUGGAUAUACUCUGCGGGUUGCCUAACACUUCCCCUCGAGUAACCAAAGUCCUUACUCAAAAUCUCAAAAAUGUUUCGAAGGACCAAAACAGAGUUCUUCUACAUAAUAAUAGUUUUUUCCUAAUUUUUCUAAAAAGUUAGGUGGUGAAUCUAAAAAAUAAUUUUGAAAACCCAAGAGUCACGACACGCCAGCACAUGUUAUGUGUUGUUUCAACCAGUUCAAAAUAGGGCGCGACAUAUGUCACGAUCCAAAAAUGAGUCGCGGUGUACCUUGACAAGUAAGCCUAUCAUCCAAACUGAUACAGAAAGAGAAAAAGACGGAAACAUCUCAAGGUAAGGCUUUUAGAACGAAGCCGAAUCAUAUAAGUAAUCAUAACAAUGCAGAAAGAACUUAUCCAAUAUACCAAUCAUUCCCAAAACCAAGUGUCAAUAGUGUAAGAACUACUCAUAGAAUCCAGGAGUCAAAUACAUCAGAAAAAUAAUCGAAAGAAAAUAAUAUCUAUCUCUGAAUACUAAUAAAUACAUAACUACUAUAGAAAGAUAGAGGUGAACUACGGACUCAUAAAUGUCCAGUCACUAUCUUGAAAGCUCCAAUAAUCACCUAAGUCAAGCAAGUUGAGGCACACUCGAUCUAGGACCUACACCAAAAGGGUGUAGUAGGCAUGAGUACGGUCCACUUGUACUCAGUAGCUAUCAUAGGCCAAUCAAUCAAAGUAGCAAAUAAAGCAUAAAAAAUAUACACUAAGGGCACGUCACCUGUAAUCAGAAAAUAUCCCACAACGGUAGCCCACACCUCUUGCACUAACAGUUCUAGAAUUGUAGACACCUAAUUUUGUCCCUCUCCGAUAUCACUUUUACUCAUUUUUACCUUAUCCUAUUGCGUACCCUCACCCAUGUGAUUAUAUCCCACAAAAAUACAAAAAUAACAACCCUUUUAUAAUUUUCAAACAAAUUUCAUCUUAUUUUAAUCUUAUCCUAACUAACUUACCCUAUCCCACCUACCCUAUACCCUCACCCAUACCCCACUUCCUCUCAACGUGACUCCUCCCUUAUAUUUAUUUUCCAUAAAUUAAAAGGCAUAUACACACAGAUUCUAUCCAAUUGAGGAGGGGGGAUCACUCACAUAAUAUAUACAAUAUACAUAGAAGACAAAGGGAGGUCUGGUGGGUUUUUCCAGAGAGAGGGAUAAAAAGAGAGAGAAAGAGAAGCACAGAGAGUACUAUUUAUGGUUUUCUUCUCCAAGAGGUCGUACAUACACAAAGAACCAUAAAAUCGCGCCCCACAUACUGAAAUAGAAUAAUCGAGAGAGAGAGAGAGUCACAAAGAGAGAGAACACAAGUUUUGCGGGUUCGUUACUAUUCCAGUGAUAGACUCAUCGAAAAUGCAUUGGAGCCCUCACAAAUACUUACAAACCUAUCGAAAUAGGUUGCAAUUAGUAUGACUGUGUUUGUUUUCGGUCAUCGUUGAGGUUAUCGAAGUCGCGACAUCAUAUAGCAGUCAAUCUAAGCUCGAUCCGCUUCCAAUUCCGUUCAAACUUGUUUGAAUACAGUCCAAAGUUCUUUUAUUCUCACGAUUUUUAGCUCAGGUCAAAUUGGUUUUCAGUCUCUUUUGAAUUUUUGAUGCUUUUGGUUAGUAUGUCUUGGUGAUUCAUUGUCGAAAUCAGGUUUCGAGUUCAUUGAUUGUUGUUUUGGGCUUGAGAUUUGGGUCUUCCAAUCAUCUCGACCAGUCAUGGGUUUCAAAUUCUUCAAUAUCAGAGUUGGAGGUCGUCACUAUUGAGGUUCUAUUCGGGAUUCUCGGAUUCGGGCUUCUUUAAUUCUAUAUUAUCUAUGAAAUUGAUUCUCCGAAAGUCCAUCUCCUAACUUUGCUCUUUUAUUUUCUCAAAUUUUAGUUAAUAUCAUGAUUUGUGGUGUGGUAGAUUUUGAAAAGCAAUUUGAUAGCCGAAUUGGUUUAAUCACGUGAGUUUUGGGAGGGUCAGAGUUCAAACAUUGAUAAAAGUGAAUAUUAGUUCAUGGUGAUUUAUGGAUAAACCUUGAUUCGGGAUAAGUAUCGACUUUGUUUAAAUUCGAUAGUCUCAUAGUUUAAGUUAACAAUUAUUAGGCAAACGAUAGGGGGAAGCAUGUAAGAAUGUCGGAUUGGUGAAUGCUUGAAAUGUGUGUUUAAUGGUUUUCACUUAUCACUUUUGGAUCACUUAUAAUAUUUGGUCGGGGAAUGCCCCAAAGUAUCUGUAUAUAUUUAUUCACCGGGGAAUGCCCCGAGGUAUCUUGUACCCAGAGAAUAUUCGUGAUGAAGGCCCAACGUGUCGGGUAAAGCACGGGAGUGUAAUUAGGAUUAGUAUAGGUCAGAUAGGAUUUAUUUUCAUAUUUUUCUAUUUUGGGCUGUAUAAAUUGCACCGGACACUAUAUUUUUGGAUUCAUUUUGUUUUCUUUGUUUGUUUGAUUGUUUUACGUGUUUUUUAGUGUGGUUUAUACAUUCAUAGUGUCAGAUUAGCCGAUACGCUCCACCAAGCGACCAUUGUCAAACCACGGGAUCGAGGAGUGCCUAACACCUUCCUCUCGGUCAAUAGAAUUUCUUAGCCAGAAUCUCUGUUCGCAGAUCAGUUUUAAAGAGUCAAAUCAUUUUAAAAAGGAUCUUUCAAAGGUGACUUGUCACACCGGAUUAUGUCAAGUGGAGACUCUGAAUAAAAAAUGUAAAUAAUCCUUUUUCGAAAUAAAUUUUUAAUCUCAUGUCACUUCGAUAAUAAAAACCAUUUCGAAACUAAAAAUCCAAUCUUUUGGGGUUAAAAAAAAGAGGUGUGACAGCUCUGGAGACUCUACUGGAGAUUUUUCAGAAUUCGAGUUUAUUUUUUUGAGUUGUUUCAGCUUAGUUUGACAUUAUGGGUGUAUAAACAUUGUUUGUCUUAUCGUUUGUGUGUAUUUUAUCAUUGUUGUGUGCCUACGUGUUUACAGUCUUUCUUUAUGUGUUACCACUUUAUAUCUGGCAUCAUUUGCAUAACCCGAGUCAAUUCUUUCUGCAAUAAGUCUCGGAGUGCACGUCGUGUAAACGAACUCUAGUUGAGUCAUUCUUAUUUUUAGGAGGGGGAGCCGUUAGACGUAUGGAGUAGGUGGAAAGCUGUCGCAGCCACUAUCGACCAUACGUUCCCCCGAACAGCCUUGUUAGUGAACCCCAGCGUAAGUCUACCUUUAGGUCAUGCUUAUGUGCGUCAUAUUAAGACUUAGCGAGGCCCACUUGGUCCUUUGUAGGAGACUGACCCUUAAAGCAUCCUACGUGCUAAUUAUCCCAUUUUUUAAGGUGAUGAGGCCAUUUAACAUACCGAUUUGGGGAAAGCAUAUUGCUAGAAGUAAAGUGUGUAGACAAGAAAGUGUUAAAAAAAAAGUUUCGGAGUUUUUAGAAUUUUUUAUAGUUUGUGUUUUUUUUCACAAUCCAAAAAUUCAAAAAGAUUUUUUUUACCUUUCGCACUCAUUUUCUCAAAAACAUCAAACUGAUUUCCCUUUAUCUCCUCUAGCAAGCAUUCAUAAUUCAAAAAAUUCAAAAAAAAAAUUCUUAAUAGGAGCUUUUUAAUAAAAGAACAUUUUAAAAAGAUGGUAGAAGUUCUGUACAUUUCAUAUAACAAAAAUACCAAAAGAUUUUUCUUUCAUAGUUGUUGGUGUCAUUUUUGUGUGAAGUGUUAAAUUAAAAAUCCCAAAAAGAUUUUAUUGACGUUUUUCAUCAUUUUUCUUUGGUAAUGUCUCAUAAUUCAAGGUUUAGUUUGUUAUUUAAUCUUUAAUUGUCCAAUCUGGACGAACUACGCACCCCUGAUUCUCCUCUCUCGGGAGUGAGAUACGUAGGCUACCUAUUGUUGGUUUGGGGAUCUUAUUUACAAAAUUCAAAAAAGAUUUUUUUUACUCUUUAUUUAGAGUAGGUGUUUCACAUAUGCCUCGAAAAGAAAACUACAAAAAGAUUUUCCUUAAUAGUCGUAGGUUUUAUUUUUGGUUGAUCUAAUUUGAAAAAUCCAAAAAGAUUUUCUUCACCCUUUAUUAGAGUAGGUGUCAUAUACUUCUUUAAAAGAAAACUACAAAAAUAUUUUUCUUUAUUAGGUUCAAGUUUCAUUUUCAUAUGAAAUUCAAAAUUGAAAAUCCAAAAAGAUUUUUCUUUGGUAAUCAUAAGUUUCAUUUUUAUACAGGGAUUUAAACCUGAAAAAUGCAAAAAGAUUUUCGCCAAUUCUUUUGACAAUUUGUUAUUUUCUUUUCUUUUUAUUUUUUAAAAGAUUCAAGAAAAAAAAAGAAAAGAAAAAGAGUUUAAUUGGCCAUUUUGGCAAGACUUCACGAGCUACGCACACCUAAUUCUCCUCUUUCGAGUGUGAGAUAUGUAGGCGCCCUUAUUGGGUUCAGUGAUCUUUUUAAAAAGAAAAAGAAGGAAAAAAAAGGUUUUCAAAAAAUGUUGAACUCUAACACCUUUGUUACCUCUUGUUCAGUUAGUUUAGGGUGGUUGGUUUGUGACAUCCUGGCUGGUCCUCCACAUCACACCAAAUCUAAAGAAGAGUUAGUUGUGUCCAACAAGGAUAUAGAAAGUGAAAUCAUGGAUCAAAAAAAGAGUCAUUAAAAUGAGAGUUUGAAGCAAGAUAUUAGGAGACUAAGGCAACAAAUAACAAAAAUGCUCCAAGCUUGGGCCAGUGGAUUGCCUCCUCCCCCAUUUCCCGCUAUUGAUCCUACAAAUACCUCGAGUUUUCCACCAAAAUUAAAGAGUCAGUUUCCUACCAUUAUUAAUGCACCACAACAUGACACAGAAUUUAUUCCAAGCCCAAAACAUCUCAAUACUUCCAUCAGUUUUCCUCUAGCUCCUCAUAUAAGCUUGCUACAUUUACAACACCACAUGUCGUCCAUGAUCUUAUUGCUCAAUCAUCUACUGAGGCUUCUACAUUGUCUAGCCACCCAACGGUUGUUCUUUCCCAUGCUACUAGUAGACCCAUGUUCAAUACUCUUGGUGGAUCAUUGCUAUACUCCUGAUCCUACAUUUAAGUUAACUGGACCACCAAAAUUUCUUAACAAGAAGGUAUGGCAGAAGAGCCAGAUAAAAUGGUUGGAAAAAUAAAGAGUGCAGGAAAUGCUGUGAAAAGUUCCCUAAGACUUGCGAGUGAAGAAGAUGUUUCAUACAAAAACUGGGGCAUGUCUUCAAGUGUUAACUCUCCUCUAAGCCUUGAGAUAUCAAAAUGCGAUGAGCAAGAUGGACAAGAGGAAUCCAUGAAAUAUUUGGGACAAUAUUGCAAUCAAUUAAAGGAAACUGGAGAGAAGAAGACUAAGAAAGAUACAGCUGCUAUUAUAGUUGGAGAAUGGGCACAUCUAGGAAGACGACAUCGUCGUUGCCGUCAAUCUCAGGCCCAAGUUCAUACCCAAGCUCUCUAUAAUCCUUCCCAAAAUCCAUUAUACUCUAUUUCCCCACCUUCAUAUCUAGUAUACUACGCACAGCCAUAUGUUCAACUCUCUUCUUACUCACAAUGGCGUGCACCGACUCCUUAGAGUUACCUUCUGGCUCCACAAAUCUAUCAAAGCCUUUCCAAGCUCGAUUUUAGAUCCAAUCCAAACAAUGAAAUGAGGCAGAAAUCGAGGGAUAGCUUCACACCAAUUGGAGAGCCGUAUGCCAUCUUAUUUCGGAUAUUGGUACAGCGGGGCAUGAUCAUUCCUCUCCUUGGGUAUACUCCUAACCCGCAUUUAAGAAGUUUUGAUCCUAAUGUUCGAUGUGCAUAUCAUUCUGAUGUUCAGGGUCACAAUAUUGAAGAUUAUCGGGAUUUGAAAAGAGAAAUUAAAAAGAUAAUUCAAGAUAAAUCAAUUAUGGUACAGAAUAAUGACAGUGAGGAAAGCUCUAGUCAUACUGAUACGCAAACCAGUGGCUAAAAUGUCAGGUUGAGCAAUUGAGAAGUUACCUCUCUCCCUACUACGAAGAGGUCUGGUAGUUUGUUUUGUUUUAUUUUUUAUUUUUUGAAUUAUUUCAGGUUUGUAGUUCGGGAUCUAUCUUGUUUUGUCCCUUUAUCAUUAUUUGAAAACCAUUCUAUCUUUCAUUUCAACUAAAUUAAGUGUCCAUUUCCCUUUGUGUUUUAAAUGUGUGUUAUUUGUUUUCUUUACACAGUACAUUUUAUGUUGGUUCUGGUGAUAUAACAUGCUAGCAAAAUUUUCAGCCAGAUCUUAAACUCCAGUUUAAGCAUGAACAUAGAAUCAGAGGGUUAAAGUUAGAAAAGAGAGCACCUCAAAAAAUAAAUAGAGUGUUGAGUCAUUUGGUGAUCAAGUUGAAGCCGUCUUUAAAAUCCAGGCAAUUAUUUUGAGAAUCAUGAGAAUAACUUGGUCAUCAAUUGAAAUACAUAUCUCAAUUAGGUUAAAUAAUGAAUGUGUGCUCCCGAGGAACAGAAUAAAAAUCAACUCCACGAAAGCAUGAGUCAUUCAAUGUGAGGAAAGUAUAACAAAGAUGGAGUUGUAUGUUCAGCAAGUGUAGAAGAAGAGGUGGUACAUAUGUUCAGGGCAAGUUAGUGUUGUAAAACAUGUCAUAAGUGAUAUUGAUCGUGCACUUUCAUAUUGCAUGAUAUGUACUUGCAUUUUCAAGGAUUGAUAUGACGAAGACAUUUCAUUCUGCUAUCCAAAUAUCGUGUCAUCCUUUAUUUACCCCAUUCGAGCUUUAGUCCUAUUUUCUUUCAUACCCCUCUUUUGGAAUUAAAAUAGAGUCAAAAAAAAAUAUGUCCAAAAAAAAAAGUGCCAAGACAAAUAGAAUCAGAAAAAUCCAAAGAGAAAAGAGUGUCAAUAAAAGAAAAAGAAUCAAAAGUCUAAAUCAUGCAAAACAAGCUACCAGAACUACACAUGACUUGAUUCUCCUCUUUCAGGGCUGAGAUACGUAGGCUACCCUAUUCGAGGCUCGGUCCAGCCAAAUAAAUAAUUUAAAAUUCCCCAGUCAAAAGAAACUGGGGCAUGAGUUAAUCUUCAUUGUUUGAGUCGAUUCCAAAAGUUGUAAGUCCCACCUCACUUCAGGUGUCGUUUGGGCCCCAUGCCAUCCUUUCUUUCUAAUCCUAUCCAAAAACCAAGUUACAACCAAAGAAAAACCUUCAGAUCAAUCUGUAAGAAUGCUAAGGCUAAGCACGCAAUGGAUGUGAUGAUGCAUUUUGGGAACUACUAGUCUUCCUCAGUGUAAGGAAUUAGGAGAGAAAUGAAAAUGAGAGAGUUUUAUCGGUGAAAACCCUCACGGGCACUAUAAGACAAUGGUGAGUUAAGAUAAGUAAAAAUAAGAGUCUUAUCGGUGAAAACUCUCACGGGCACCGUAAGACGACUGUGAGCUGAGAGAAAUGAAAAUUAGAGAAUCUCAUUGGUGAAAAAACUUCACGGAUACCAUAAGGCAAAGGUGAGCCGAGAGAAAGAAAAUGAGAGAGGCUUGUUGGCGAAAACCCUUCAAGGUGUCACUAGCCGAAUGAGGCCUCUGAAUGCAAUUGACCUCAGAAAGCAAUUCAAUUUCGAGGUCAUUCACUUAACAACAAUUGAUAGAGAGUCUUGGAUGGAAAGAUCAGGCAUUCUAAUCCGAUAUGCAUGUCAUAAUCAUUAGAGUUGACUGUCAUUUUUAGAUAAACUUUUUUUUCAUCUUUUUUAAUGGGGACAUUCAUUGUCGUUUUUUUUCUUCAAUUUAGUUAAAUUUUAUUUUCUUGAGUCAGUUAUCAAAAUAAAGCAAAAAUUAUUGUUAUUUUUCUCUUGUCUUUGAGUCAAGUCCUUGUCAAAACAAAUGAGAAAAGAUUUCAAAACUGGCUGCCAACUUCUUCAAUUGCACAAAGCAAGGCAGAAAGUCCAGCAUGAAAAAGACAUGAUUAUGAGCCGAAAAAAAGAGCAUGCAUAAAGCUUUGUCAACGGGAAAAUCUGGGAACUCAUGAAAAUACCAAGGUUUAAAGGGUUUAUCUGAGAAGCAUGGGAAAGCGGAGAUACUGUGUUUACUUUAGAGGCACUCUUAAUAAUCUGUGUUUGGAUCAAUGACGUGACAAAGCAGGGGAAAGUAUUAACAAUCCAAAACAAAAUGAAGGAAAUAGACACUAGAGCAGGUGUCGGGACAGCCAAGUGCUGCAAGCCACCACUAUAUUUUUAACUGACAAAUUUCCUUUGUUGAAACAGGUGAAAAUUCGCUUCACUUAAUUUAGCUACCAUUGGAAAAACACAUCCAUAGUAAUUUAAUUUUUGUUCAGGACCCUCCUGAAUAAUGGAAUUUUCUUUUUGUUCAGGACCAUCCUAAAAAAUGGGAAUUUACUUUCUGUUAAGGACCCACCUGAAAAAUGAGAAUUUACUUUUUGUUCAGGACCCUCCUGAAAAAUGGGAUUUUACUUUCUGUCCAGGACCCUUCUGAAAAAUGGAAUUUUACUUUCUGUUCAGGACCCUCUUGAAAAAUGGGAUUUUACUUUCUGUCCAGGACCCUCCUGAAAAAUGGGAUUUUACUUUCUGUUCAGGACCCUCCUAAAAAAUGGGAUUUUACUUUCUGUCCAGGACCCUCCUAAAAAAUAAGAAUUUACUUUCUGUUCAGGACCCUCCUGGAAAAAGGCAAUUUACUUUCUAUUUAGGACUCUCCUGAAAAAUGGAAUUUUACUUUUUGUCCAGGAACCUCCUGAAAAAUGGGAUUUUACUUUUUGUUUAGGACCCUCCUGAAAAUGGAAUUUUACUUUCUGUCCAGGACCCUCCUGAAAAAAUGGUAUUUUACUUUCUGUUUAGGACCCUCCUAAAAAAUGAAAUUUUACUUUAUGUUCAGGACCCUCCUGAAAAAAUUGGACUUUACUUUCUAUCCAGGACCUUCCUGAAAAAUGGUACCAUACUUUCAAAACAUGAAAUCCUUCUUUAUCAUAAUCUUUGUUCGGGAUAAUUUUCGUUCUAGUUAAUUUUAGUUUCAGAAGCUCCGACAGGGUGAUGAAAUUGGAAGUUGAUAAAAUUGCAAGUCAGGAGUCCGCCUGAAGUACAGGAUGAUGAAAUUGGAAGUUGAGAAAAUUGUAAGUCAGGAACCCACCUGAAAAAUAGGAUGAUGAAAUUGGAAGUUGAUUGCAAAUUGCAAUUCAGGAGUCCACGUGAAGAAUAGGGUGAAGAAAUUGAAAGUCAAGCAACAAGGUGAAGCAAUUGAAAGCUAAAGAACAAGUUAGAAGAAAAUGCAAAUCAGGAGCCCGCCUGAAGAAUAGGGUGAUAAAACUCAAGUUAAAAGUCUAAUAGAAGCUACAUGGAUAGGAUUUUUGUAAUUUCAUUUAUGUUUUAACUUGUAAUUUUCAUUUUGAUGUAAUGACAGAACCGCGGACCGAAACCUCGAUGGAACCUCACUCGACUCUCCAACUUGGUAUUGUUCUUCUCUUUCAAAUCCUUUGAAAUACCCGUGACUUGAUUCCCUCAUGAAUUGGGUAGGUAGGAUGUCCUAAGUCAAGACCCGAUUGCUCUUUUUUCCUUCUAUUUCUUUGAAUAAUGGUUGGGAUAGUUUUUUCUCGUUGUCCACUUCUUUGUCUGAAAACACUUCGUGUUUACAUUCAAAGGAGGCAUGAUGUAGACACCUAAUUUUGUCCCUCCCCGAUAUCACUUUUACUUAUUUUUACCUUAUCUUAUCGCGUAUCCUCACCCAUGUGAUUAUAUCCCACAAAAAUACAAAAAUAACAUAACCUUUUCAAAUUUUCUAACAAAUUUUAUCUUAUUUUAAUCUUAUCCUAACCAACUCACCCUACCUCACCUACCUUAUACCCUCACCCAUACCUCACUCUCUCUCCAUAUGACCCUUCCUCCAUAUUUCUUUUCCAUAAAGUAAAAGGCAUAUACACACAGAUUCUAUCCAAUUUAGGAGGGGGAACCACUGACCACUUACAUAAUAUAUAAAAUAUACAUAGAAGACAAAGGGGAUCUGGUGGGUUUUUCCAGAGAGAGGGAUAAAGAGAGAGAGAAAGAGAAGCACAGGGGUACUAUUUUUUGUUUUCUUCUCCAAGAGGUCCCCCACACACAAAGAACCAUAAAAUCAUGCCCCCACAUACAGAAAUAGAAGAAUCGAGAGAGAGAGAGAGAGAGAGUCACGGAGAGAGAGAACUCAGGUUACGCGAGUUCGUUACUGUUUUGGCUAUAGACUCGUCGGAAACAUUUCGGAGCCAUCACAAAUACAUACAAACUCGUUGGAAUACAUUGCAAUUAGUAUUAUUGUGUUUGUUUUUGGUCAUCGUUGAGGUUAUCGGAGUUGCGACGUCAUAUAGUAGUCAAUCUAAGCUCGAUCCGCUUCCGAUUUCGUUCAAACUUGUUGGAAUCCGGUCUGAAGUUCUCUUAUUCACGAGAUCUUUAGCUCAGGUCGUAAUGAUUUUUAGUCUCUUUUGAAUUUUUUAAGCUUUUGGUUAGUCUGUCUUAGUGAUUCGUUGUCGAAAUCAGGCUUUGAGUUCAUUGAUUGUUGUUUCAGGCUUGAGAUUUGGGCCUUCCAGUCAUUUUGACCAGUCGUAGGUUUCAAAUUCUUCAAUAUCAGAGUUGGAGGUCAUCACUAUUGAGGUUCUAUUCAGGAUUCUCGGAUUUGGGCUUCUUUAAUUCUAUAUUAUCUACGAAAUUGAUUCUCCGAAGGUCCAUCUCCUAACUUUACUCUUUCAUUUUCUCAGGUUAAUAUCGUGAUUUGUGGUGUGGUUUUGAAUAUUUUGAGCAAAUGUUGAUUGUUGUUGUGGAUAUAAAUGAUUGAUAUGCUUAAAUAUUUGAAUCUUUGUUG
Molecule: long non-coding RNA, 12499 nt
Filed under: Capsicum annuum
Lineage: Eukaryota; Viridiplantae; Streptophyta; Magnoliopsida; Solanales; Solanaceae
Description: long non-coding RNA (CANN_LNC006610)
Source: RNAcentral